GGUCCCAUGGGAUAAUUGUAGUCCCAUGGGACAGAAAAAAAUCCCAUGGGACUAUAAUUAUCCCAUGGGAUU
This 72-nucleotide small RNA is filed under the name Mytilus galloprovincialis (Mediterranean mussel). Lineage: Eukaryota; Metazoa; Mollusca; Bivalvia; Mytilida; Mytilidae. The record is from RNAcentral.